RNAcentral lists this ribosomal RNA (478 nucleotides) under uncultured bacterium. RNAcentral describes it as "partial 16S ribosomal RNA". It matches the Rfam family "Bacterial small subunit ribosomal RNA", at positions 28 to 523 of the family's 1533-position model. The record is from RNAcentral.
GACGAACGCUGGCGGCGUGCUUAACACAUGCAAGUCGAACGGUAAGGCCCUUCGGGGUACACGAGUGGCGAACGGGUGAGUAACACGUGGGUGAUCUGCCCUGCACUUCGGGAUAAGCCUGGGAAACUGGGUCUAAUACCGGAUAGGACUCCGGACUGCAUGGUCUGGGGUGGAAAGCUUUUGCGGUGUGGGAUGGGCCCGCGGCCUAUCAGCUUGUUGGUGGGGUGAUGGCCUACCAAGGCGACAACGGGUAGCCGGCCUGAGAGGGUGACCGGCCACACUGGGACUGAGAUACGGCCCAGACUCCUACGGGAGGCAGCAGUGGGGAAUAUUGCACAAUGGGCGCAAGCCUGAUGCAGCGACGCCGCGUGAGGGAUGACGGCCUUCGGGUUGUAAACCUCUUUCAGCACAGACGAAGCGCAAGUGACGGUAUGUGCAGAAGAAGGACCGGCUAACUCCGUGCCAGCCGCCGCAGUAA